GAAAAUUUUGGAGUUUCUCCAAACACACCGUGUGCACUGUUUGCUGUCUCUGGCAGGACCAGGGCCUUAGCGCCCCCCUGCCGAAGGUGCGUCCCCUCGUGGGGCGCGUCCUAUUGAACAACACCAUGCCUUGAAUCUUUGUCUGAGUUUUCUUCACCUCGUGUGAGAAAUAAAAA
RNAcentral lists this unclassified non-coding RNA (176 nucleotides) under uncultured fungus. RNAcentral's name for it is "sequence contains ITS1". Lineage: Eukaryota; Fungi. The record is from RNAcentral.